Molecule: ribosomal RNA, 253 nt
Filed under: uncultured microorganism
Description: partial 16S ribosomal RNA
Rfam family: Bacterial small subunit ribosomal RNA
Source: RNAcentral
UACGUAGGGUGCGAGCGUUAAUCGGAUUUACUGGGCGUAAAGCGUGCGCAGGCGGCCCGUUAAGACAGGUGUGAAAUCCCUGGGCUCAACCUAGGAAUUGCGCUUGUGACUGGCGGGCUCGAGUACGGUAGAGGGGAGUGGAAUUCCCGGUGUAGCAGUGAAAUGCGUAGAGAUCAGGAGGAACACCGAUGGCGAAGGCAGCCCCCUGGGCCUGUACUGACGCUCAUGCACGAAAGCGUGGGGAGCAAACAGG